GAUGAACGCUAGCUACAGGCUUAACACAUGCAAGUCGAGGGGCAGCAUGGUCUUAGCUUGCUAAGGCCGAUGGCGACCGGCGCACGGGUGAGUAACACGUAUCCAACCUGCCGUCUACUCUUGGACAGCCUUCUGAAAGGACGAUUAAUACAAGAUGGCAUCAUGAGUCCGCAUGUUCACAUGAUUAAACAUAUUCAGGUAGACGAUGGGGAUGCGUUCCAUUAGAUAGUAGGCGGGGUAACGGACCACCUAGUUUUCGAUGGAUAGGGGUUUUGAGAGGAAGGUCCCCCAAAUUGGAAAUGAGACACGGUCCAAACUCCUACGGGAGGCAGCAGUGAGGAAUAUUGGUCAAUGGGCGAGAGCCUGAACCAGCCAAGUAGCGUGAAGGAUGACUGGCCUAUGGGUUGUAAACUUCUUUUAUAAAGGAAUAAAGUCGGGUAUGGAUACCCGUUUGCAUGUACUUUAUGAAUAAGGAUCGGCUAACUCCGUGCCAGCCGCCGCAGUAACAC
This 509-nucleotide ribosomal RNA is filed under the name uncultured bacterium. Its description in RNAcentral is "bacterial SSU rRNA". It matches the Rfam family "Bacterial small subunit ribosomal RNA", at positions 28 to 526 of the family's 1533-position model. The record is from RNAcentral.